UACGAAGGGAGCUAGCGUUGUUCGGAAUUACUGGGCGUAAAGGGUGCGUAGGCGGUUUAAUCAGUCAGAUGUGAAAGCCCUGGGCUCAACCUAGGAACUGCGUUUGAUACUGUUAAGCUAGAAUUCGGAAGAGGUGAGUGGAAUUCCCAGUGUAGAGGUGAAAUUCGUAGAUAUUGGGAAGAACACCGGUGGCGAAGGCGGCUCACUGGUCCGACAUUGACGCUGAGGCACGAAAGCGUGGGGAGCAAACAGG
This 253-nucleotide ribosomal RNA is filed under the name uncultured bacterium. RNAcentral's name for it is "partial 16S ribosomal RNA". It matches the Rfam family "Bacterial small subunit ribosomal RNA", at positions 524 to 776 of the family's 1533-position model. The record is from RNAcentral.